UGUCAAUGAUGAUUAACAUGUUCUGCUACUGAAUGUAACUGUGGAUAACACAUACCAUUACCAAAACACUUCUGAUGC
This 78-nucleotide small nucleolar RNA is filed under the name Heterostelium album PN500. The record is from RNAcentral. Lineage: Eukaryota; Evosea; Eumycetozoa; Acytosteliales; Acytosteliaceae.